AUGCCCAGCACUGGGCAGGAGGAAGGCAUCCUCAGGGCAAGGGUCUGCUAUCAGGGGGCUCUGGGCCGCAGCUCCUGGGCACUUCCAGAUUCCUGCAGCGCAGAGAAGUUUUACUGGGAGGGAGCACCCUGCGGCUGGAGAGACCCCGUUGCGAACACCCAGCGACGAAGUCUACAGCAGCCCAGGUCUGUGCUGCCUCCUGGUGGCGACAGAUUUUACUACACACGGCCCCCACGUGAAAGGAGUUUCUCUUCAGUGGCCCAGUUACUUUCUGUUGUGCAGAAGUCCCGAGCCACGGAUAUUCGGUCUGGAAGCUCUGAGUUUAUCUUGGGACCUCAAGAGGAGAGGAUCAUCCAACUCACAGGGAAACUGGUGCUUUAUUGUGAGGAGUACACUAUGGAGAGACCCAUGUGAAAAGGAACUGAGGACUCCAGGCAGAAGUCACCAAGGACUGAGGCUGCUGACAGCUGUGUGUGAACUCGGAAGCAGAUUGAUCCUUGCCCAAGCCUACACCUUGUCUACAGCCUUCAUGAGAGACCCUGAGUCAGGGGUGGACAUCCAAGCUGUGCCAAAACUGUUGACCCACAGAAACUGUGAGAUGAUACAUGUGUUUAAGCCCCCAUAUUGUGGAGUCAUUUAUUACACAGCAAAAGAUGGCUAAGACGAGCACUAUUUUUAUCCCUUGUGGGUUCAUGGCUUGGUUUCCCUACCUCCCACUGACUGAAUGUGACUAAAGCAAAAUCCUAUAAUCAGCUGUCGCUGAACAAUAUUAACUGAUUGUCUACUGCUUACUAGCAUGGCAGGAAUUCAAGAGUUUAUGAAGGAAAUGGCAACAGUGAGGCCGAGGAUUUACAUGCAGGAAAGGCUUCAUCCCGGCAAAUUACCCAGGGCAGACCUUGCCUCCUUCACUAUCUAAAAUAUCCAACUCUUAUAGCUUAAAAUCCUCAUCUCUCAUUGUCUGUCUUAUAGAAACCAUCCUAACCACCAAAACACAGCCACUCCAUUCCUUAUGAAGGGGCUCUUUAGAGAUGGGGAACCUCCUCUAGUUUUCCACUUGACUCUGGUCUUCCUCCUAGUUCCCUUCCUUCCGGGCAGAGGCUGAGGCCAGGCACACAGUACCUUUGCUCUUACUGUGUUUGCAAAAACAAUGGUUGCAUUUUCCCGUAGCUGACUACUAAAACUCUUGGCUGACUCAUUAAACAUUUUACUUUUGUCAGUUUCAAAGCACAGCUUACAUAUUAAUGAAAUCCACCAUCUCUCCUUUUGAUAAGGACUUUUGUCCGGUUUCAUGAUGUGGUUCAUUCUUGAGAAACAACAAAACAUGGUGGUUAAGAGCUUGGCGCUGGAUCCCACUUCCCAGUUUUAGGUUCUGGUUCUAAAAUUUACCCGCUGUGUGAUCUUGGGCAAUUUGCUUCACCUCUCUGCGCCUCCAUUUACACAUAAAAUAUUGGAUAAUAAUGACGUAGUUGUGAACCAAAGAACAUGUGUCCUUAUUUGGAAUGACUAGAAAUGGUUAGCUGUUUUAGAAUGACAAACAAUCAGGAAUACAUGGGCGACAGUCCUGAUGAUGCUUGGGCACAAGGAAGUAAACACGUGUAAAGUGCUUAGAGCAAGGGCUGGCUCCAAGUGAGCACCGAUGAGCCUUAGCUCCUACGCUAUUAUCACAGUAUCAUUUGGGGCAAAUAUAAAGCUAUCAUUUUUUAGAUCAAAAUGCUUUUCUGAGCUGUGACUACCUUCUUUGAUUCAAAUUUAUGAAAUUUUCCAUGAAUUGUGAAAUAACCCACCGGCCUAUACUGGCUUCUUAGAGAGAGUCACCCAUGACUCAAAUUCCUCAAAAGAAAUAAGAUGUCUUCCUCUCUGCAAAGGCUUGAGAAGUUAUUUGUAGCCAAAGGAUGGAGAUAAGGCUUGUGUUACUCCUGGAAGCAGAGAGGGGACCUAUUUAAUAGGCAAGAUGAGGAUACUACAGAAUCAUUUAUCAAACUUUCAAGCAACUGUGGUUUGUAAAAUAACUGAGACACCCUGGAAAAGUCAGAUCUCUUAGUCAAAGGAGAAUGCAAUUUAAGUUUCAGUAAUCCAUAUAGAAGAAAUGAAUACCUGCCCAAGGAUGAUGCAUAGAUAUUCACAAGGGCCUCGUAGAUGUUAUUAAUAGCAAUCAUUUUUAGUGGACUGAGAAACAGG
This 2178-nucleotide long non-coding RNA is filed under the name Callithrix jacchus (white-tufted-ear marmoset). Its description in RNAcentral is "lncRNA (ENSCJAG00000087220.1)". The record is from RNAcentral. Lineage: Eukaryota; Metazoa; Chordata; Mammalia; Primates; Cebidae.